AUUGACCUCGGAUCAGGUAGGAAUACCCGCUGAACUUAAGCAUAUCAAUAAGCGGAGGAAAAGAAACCAACAGGGAUUGCCCUAGUAACGGCGAGUGAAGCGGCAACAGCUCAAAUUUGAAAUCUGGUCCCUCACGGGGCCCGAGUUGUAAUUUGCAGAGGAUGUCUUCUGGCGCGGUGCCUUCCGAGUUCCCUGGAACGGGACGCCACAGAGGGUGAGAGCCCCGUAAUGGUCGGAUACCAAGCCUGUGUGAAGCUCCUUCGACGAGUCGAGUAGUUUGGGAAUGCUGCUCUAAAUGGGAGGUAAAUCUCUUCUAAAGCUAAAUACYGGCCAGAGACCGAUAGCGCACAAGUAGAGUGAUCGAAAGAUGAAAAGCACCUUGAAAAGGGGGUUAAACAGUACGUGAAAUUGUUGAAAGGGAAGCGCUCAUGACCAGACUUGCGCCGGGCGGCUCAUCAGGUGGUUCUGCCCCUGUGUACUCCGUCCCGGUUCAGGCCAGCAUCGGUUCGCGCCGGGGGACAAGAACGGUGGGAACGUGGCCCCCCCUCGGGGGGGUGUUAUAGCCCGCCGUGACGAUACCCUGGUGCGGACCGAGGUUCGCGCACUCCGCAAGGAUGCUGGCGUAAUGGUUAUCAGUGACCCGUCUUGAAACACGGACCAAGGAGUCGUCCUUUAGAGCGAGCGUCUGGGUGUCAAAACCCGCACGCGUAAUGAAAGUGAAAUCAGGUGAGAGCCCCUCGUGGGCGCAUCAUCGACCGAUCCUGAUGUUCUCGGAUGGAUUUGAGUAAGAGUUUUAACGGACGGACCCGAAAGACAGUGAACUAUGCUUGUAUAGGGUGAAGCCAGAGGAAACUCUGGUGGAGGCUCGCAGCGGUUCUGACGUGCAAAUCGAUCGUCAAAUAUGAGCAUGGGGGCGAAAGACUAAUCGAAC
Molecule: ribosomal RNA, 931 nt
Filed under: Melanconiella chrysodiscosporina
Lineage: Eukaryota; Fungi; Ascomycota; Sordariomycetes; Diaporthales; Melanconiellaceae
Description: eukaryotic LSU rRNA
Rfam family: Eukaryotic large subunit ribosomal RNA
Source: RNAcentral